GAUGAACGCUGGCUGCGUGCCUAAUACAUGCAAGUCGAGCGAACGGACGAGAAGCUUGCUUCUCUGAUGUUAGCGGCGGACGGGUGAGUAACACGUGGAUAACCUACCUAUAAGACUGGGAUAACUUCGGGAAACCGGAGCUAAUACCUGAUGAUAUUUUGAACCGCAUGGUUCAAAAGUGAAAGACGGUCUUGCUGUCACUUAUAGAUGGAUCCGCGCUGCAUUAGCUAGUUGGUAAGGUAACGGCUUACCAAGGCAACGAUGCAUAGCCGACCUGAGAGGGUGAUCGGCCACACUGGAACUGAGACACGGUCCAGACUCCUACGGGAGGCAGCAGUAGGGAAUCUUCCGCAAUGGGCGAAAGCCUGACGGAGCAACGCCGCGUGAGUGAUGAAGGUCUUCGGAUCGUAAAACUCUGUUAUUAGGGAAGAACAUAUGUGUAAGUAACUGUGCACAUCUUGACGGUACCUAAUCAGAAAGCCACGGCUAACUACGUG
Molecule: ribosomal RNA, 497 nt
Filed under: uncultured bacterium
Lineage: Bacteria
Description: partial 16S ribosomal RNA
Rfam family: Bacterial small subunit ribosomal RNA
Source: RNAcentral